Drosophila pseudoobscura is the source of this 1695-nucleotide long non-coding RNA. RefSeq lists it as uncharacterized. Lineage: Eukaryota; Metazoa; Arthropoda; Insecta; Diptera; Drosophilidae. The record is from RefSeq and is a predicted model, not a curated record. The transcript is spliced from 2 exons.
AUAUGUGUAAACCAAAAAGAGUGCAUUAUAUUUCCAUAGUGAAAUAGACUUCCCACUGUUCCAAAGGGCAUUCCUAAAAAUAAUCAGUCCCAAUCACUUGAUGUGAAAAUGUGAAAAUCGAAAUCACUACCAGUAAAAACGGAGUUUCUGAUGAAGAACGGCUACAUAAAACGAUCAAUGACAAAUUAAGAAUUAUUUCAAGCGAGGAUAACAUAGAGAACAAGCUCACAAAAUUUGAGUUAAUUCUAUACACUUAUAAUCAUAAAUCGGUUCAUAAUACUACAAAAAGAUCCCCAGCUGAUAUCUUCCUGUACGCCGGACUACCAGAUUAUAACACCCAACUGAAUAAGGUUAGGAAGAUCAAUCAUUUAAAUAACGAUAGAAUCGAAUUGAAGAAUUGAAGUAGACACACGCUACAAAAAUGCACCCCUAGUUAAAACAAAAACAACCAAUCCGUUCAAAAUAACAGGGGAAAUUCGGCAGAGUACCCGAAGAGAGUACUGGGAAUCUGGAGCUACAACAUGAUUAAGAUUAUAAUCUUACUAAUGUUCACCGUCCUACAGUCUACCGGAUAGAAUAUAGAGAUAGAUCCCAUCAACUCAAGGAAUAAAUAUCUCAUUUUCAAAACAGAUACCAUUAACAUACCCAUUAAUUAUGAAUAUCAUUAUUUAACAAGAACAGAUGAAACAUAUCAGAGUUUACUAGACCAGGCAACCCAAUUUAAUAACGUAAUCCAAGUUCAAUAUUUAGUCGAGACAUUGCAACGUGAAUUCAACGGCAUAAAAAUAGCCAAAAGAAACAAAAGAGGCCUUUAAAUGCAGUAGGCACAAUUUAUAAAUAUCUAUUUGGAACGUUAGAUCAUAAAGAUGAUAAAGUCGAACUAGAAGGGAAAAUAGACAAUCUGGCUAGCCACAGUGUUCAAGCUAACGAAUUAAACUUAAAAUUUCAAGCAGUAAAUUAAUUAGGCAUGCAGCACACCAAAACUUUCAAAUAAGUUUCAUAGAACCCAAUAUAUUGUUAACUUGGAAAUUACCACAAACCAUAUUAUACCAAGAUUGCCUAAACUAAGAAACAAAAGUAGAAGGCAACGCAAUAAUAAAAAUAAAUAAUUGCAGUGUACAAUUAAAUGAAUUCUUAAUAUCUAACUCAAUACCAGAAUUUGCACAAAGCAUAUACAUCAAAAAUAACGUAACAAGAAUUAAACAAUUGUCUUAUUUGCAAACCAAAGAAAUCGUAAUAGAAAAUACGCGAUUAAAUAAUGUAUUACAUGUAAGCUCAAUACUGCUAAUUGUCAUAAUCAUAAUGGCAUUAAGUUACAAAUUGUUUAAUCUAAGUAAAAUCAAUAAGCCUAAACCCGACUCCCACAUAGAAACAUCUUUAGACGAAAACGGGGAAUCCCCAGCGUGCACAGUUUUAGAUGCACCUGAACUAUAUCCAAGGAUAAUCGCCUGAGAACAGGCUUAAAUCGAACGAUGGGGAAGUGACAUAUCUAUAGUCCAUGCUCCGGAUACCCUUAUCUAUGUCUGUUACCCUGCACCCACAUACUAUAAACAAUCCAACACCCUCAGCAUCGAAUCUCAUAAACAUCCCACGCUCGAAGUGGACCACUUGUAGCCGAUAGCCGGCAAUGUAAACAAACACCCUAAGCUAGGAGUCGAACAUAAAACAAUAGAUGCCGCGUAUCCAGCCGCACUA